Molecule: ribosomal RNA, 460 nt
Filed under: uncultured bacterium
Lineage: Bacteria
Description: partial 16S ribosomal RNA
Rfam family: Bacterial small subunit ribosomal RNA
Source: RNAcentral
CCUACGGGAGGCAGCAGUGAGGAAUAUUGGUCAAUGGACGAGAGUCUGAACCAGCCAAGUAGCGUGAAGGAUGACUGCCCUAUGGGUUGUAAACUUCUUUUAUAUGGGAAUAAAAUGUUCCACGUGUGGGAUUUUGUAUGUACCAUAUGAAUAAGGAUCGGCUAACUCCGUGCCAGCAGCCGCGGUAAUACGGAGGAUCCGAGCGUUAUCCGGAUUUAUUGGGUUUAAAGGGAGCGUAGGUGGAUUGUUAAGUCAGGUGUGAAAGUUUGCGGCUCAACCGUAAAAUUGCAGUUGAAACUGGCAGUCUUGAGUACAGUAGAGGUGGGCGGAAUGCGUGGUGUAGCGGUGAAAUGCUUAGAUAUCACGAAGAACUCCGAUUGCGAAGGCAGUUCACUGGACUGCAACUGACACUGAGGCACGAAAGUGUGGGUAUCAAACAGGAUUAGAUACCCGGGUAGUC